CCUAAUUCCCUCGUCUCUCAAAUUCUCUCUAACACCACACGAAACCGUAGCCGCCUAUCGUCUUCUCCGACAAGAUCCACCAGCAUCCAUAGCUUCAUAGGGCCAUGGAUGGCCUGUACUCUCUUCCCUUCACUCACAAACCAAGAUUGUUCAAGGUGCUUUGAGGUUCGAUCUUCUACAAGCAAGUUCAAAUCCUCCACCUAUCUGAGUUCUUUUGGUUUCUCCGGCUCCGUUCCGGCGAGUUCCAGCUCCGAAAGGCGUAGCCAUGGCCCAGACCUACUCAGGACCAGAUCGUUCCGGGCCUUCUCAUUUCUAGGGUUUGUGAGAGACCCUAAAAGACCUUGUUUGAGGUUUUUGAUUCACUUAUUUUCUUAGAUCUGUAACAGAUCUGUGUUAUACUUGAUGUUUUAAUGCUUUCCACCAAUUUUCCUUUUCAAAAUUAGUCUGCUCAAAAUUACGAUUUUCAAAAAUCCUUAAAUGAUUCUUCUUCUUUUUCUUUCAUUUAAUCUGUGUGUCCAUGCCAUAUCUGAUGUGUUUUCGUUUGUUCUUAUGAUUUGUUGUUAAUACGUAUGUAUCGCUAUCUUUACUCUGUUAUUGCUUCUACUGGUAUCUAGAAGUAUGAUUUACAUGUUUACCUUGCAUGUCCUCUUACUAAUUCUCCUACUGAGAUUGUUUUCCUUUACUGAAUUCAUUUGGGUUCUAAACUUAUUUCUCUUAUUAUUUCCUACGUUCUUUGACUGAAAUGGUAUGAGAUUAUUUUAUUUCUAAAACUUGUUCUUUACAAGCUUUCACUCUACCUCUUCUAAUUUUCUACGUAUGUUUGUGUGUUUCCUCAGGGAACUCUGAACGAGUUUCCCAAGCUUGUUGUGAAGGAUUGCCUUAUCUUUUCUACUCUAAUUGAAACCAUAGGGUUUGGGUCUUUGCAAGUUUGACUCUAGGGUUUUGCCCUAAAAGACCCUGGACUCUCGAACUCACACAAAGUCUACAAUCAAUUUGGAAUUUCAUGCAUACAAUUUGAAAUCGUGUAUGCUAGUCUCUUUUGUAAAUACUAGUAUGCUUAUAUACGUGGGUGUUUUCUUCUGCAAUUGAUUCGGUUAACUUGUGAUUGAUUUCAAUCUCCUAUUACUAAGGCUCGAUUGAUUUGCUAUUGAUUUUACAACUCAACCCUUACCCUCUUUUCGUGACUAAGUUCAUUCAAGACUUUAAAACUUCCGGCUGUUUGAUUACUUUAUUUUCCUUAUUUUCUCAAAACCCUGUACUAUUAGCUUCUUACAUUAAAAAGACUAUAUGAACUUACCCCUAUUAUGCUACUCUAAAAGGUUUUAAUUAUUUUCCAUUCCUUAAUUAUUCAUUCACGUUUGAAAUCAAAUCCCUUUGACUAAGGUAGAUCCUAUUUGAUUGAUUUAAAUUUUAUUUCCUAGCCUUUUUGUUUACUCGUCUUUGCACUAUAAAAAAGACAACCUUCUCAGUUUUCAACACAGUUCUUUCUGCACCUUUGCAAUACAGUUCACACUUCAGAAAAUCGAAAAUACUUCUUAACAGUUCCCUCUCUACUAUCACUCUCUCUACUACUGCUUUCUCUACUACUACAGAUCACUAUGCUCAUUUCUCUGUUACUGUAUGAAUAUUCAGGAGUUACUCUGAACUCCCAAGUGCUUGCUGAAGUUUUUGAGUUGUUCCUGUUAACUGUCUGGUUGCCUACUUGCUGUUUUUUCUUUGUUGUACUAAAAUUGCAACUGGUAUGUAUUUCUAGUUAAAUAAGACUCUCCAACUAUGUGUGUUCGCUUCUCUUCUUCUACACAUUCUUCACUAUGUGUUUAUGUCCUGUAACUGUAGCAGGUUCUAUUCUUUCUUUUAUAUCCUUGCAUCUUCAGCCUAUUGUGCUUUCUUAUAUUUUGCUUAAUGUCAGUGUAUGCUUUUGUAUGGAAAUCCCUUCCCUAUAUCCCUUUUUGUGUGUGAGUACUGUUAUGAACCAUGGCAUUACCUUAUAUUGAUGUCCAUGAUCCAGAACUCGACUCUCCUGAGCCUCUACUCAAAUGCUUUCCCAUUCUCUCUCUCCUUUAUGUGUUGAGCUUUAAUUUGGGUCUAGUAGUGUCCUAAUCACCACUCAGACCCUAUGUUUGACUCCCUAGAGUCUGCUCCUAUUUGUUUGACCUAAGUAGGGGGGUCAGGGGUGUGCCAGCCUAUGCCAUUGCUUGGUAUGACCACCCUCUGUUAUUGUUCCUACAUCACUUUGCACUCAUUCCUAGUUCCUAAGUUCUACCCCAUUGGUAAGCCAUGCUUUGGGACCCUGGAAUUCCCUCUGAAGGUUGAUGCCCGAGGGCUGGUAAUUCCACACAUGCACUAUUCUCCCACAAUAUUUAUUCUUCAGAGUCUAAGCAUUGCUUGGGGUCCUGGAGGAUCCUUGGAACUUUGAAACACUCUGAGUAAGAGGAAUCCUUAGAACCUGGACUUCGAAUUUGGUGAAACGCAUGUUAUUCGUUAUUAAGAUUGAGUUAGGCUGCUCGGAUCUAGCUGUAGGCUGGGAUGUACUUUGAUUUGUUUCCUUUAUUCUGGCUCUAUAAAAAUUCUAUGUAAAAAGAACUAGGGGAAAAGUACUAGUGAAAAGUAUGCGGGGUUUACUUUAUUGCAAAAGGGGUAGAUACCACACCUAUAGGUUUGUCCUUACUUAAUCACUUAGAUAUCAUGCAUAUAGGUUCAACGCUUUAAAUCGCCUAGAAAUCAUGUCUAUAGGCUUUUGCACUUUCUUAACUCAAUCAUCUAGAAAUCAUUUCUAUAGGAAUUAAUAUUCAGUGAUGUUACAAAUCAUUAGGAAUCGUGCCUAUAGGACCUACUAAUUAACUAGUUGCUUAUAGAAAUCAUGCAUAUAAGAAAUGCAUGAAGACUUUCUAUACCUCAGCUUCUGCAUUAGGUUCUUAAUCAGUAACUUGUAUAAAAUACCACAACUUCUGACAAUUGGAUUCUUUUAUCCAACUCUAUGUGUUAAAAUAAAUUGUCCGCCGUUUAAUUUUAAAAGACCAAAUCAGUAUAUGCAAGACAUGCUAAACUAAUUACUAUGUGAAUUAUGGGAUUUACAUGAGCCUUUUGUGUGUUUGUUUUAUUUCCCUUUUAUCUGCUAUUUGUUUUGAUUGACGCCCUAGUAUUUUAUCCUUUUGAGACUCUAUAUAUACCUAUACUCCCUUGCCUCUCCCUGAUUAUUAUAAGUCCUAAAGCCCUAAGACUGAUAGGUUGGGACGGAUAUCAGCAUGCAAAAAGUGAAUGAGACAAAUUGUGUUUAACACCUUAACAUGGUAGAAAGUGUAGAAUAUGGAUAUGAUGAGUGGUGCGUUAAUAUCUCCUGUGAGAAUGAUUGCUGGGUAUUUUUCUUUAUUUAUAUGAUGUGAUGUUUUCAUAAAAAUUAAUGUUUUCUUCAAUUAACCCUUUUCUUUCCAAAACCACUUAUGUUUUUUUUUUCUCUCUUUUCUUUUAAAACUUUUAACUUAUUUGUAUUCCCUAUGGACAAACCUUAUUUGUUUACUUCUACUAUUUUUAAAGUCAUAAUUAAGUAGGGUCGGGAACUACACUAGUAGAUCUUUAAGGGUGCCUAACACCUUCCCCUCAAGAUAAUCAUAAGCCCUUGCCCGAACUCUGAUUUUUCUUUCAAAAAAAUAUUCUUCUUUUCUUUAAAGUGUCCUAAUGCACUAUAAACAUUAGGUGGAGACUCUUCAAAUUCCACAACCCGAUUCCUCAAAAAGGUAACAAGAGUUGUUUUUCCAUAAUGUCGUAAGUCCAAUUUCUCCUUAGAAAAAGGGGGGCGCGACAGCAUAGCGACUUUGCUGGGGAUUUCUUUUAGGAUUUUACCAUUAUGUGCUUUUGUGACUUUAUUGUUUCCAUAAUUGCAUUUAUUUUCUGUCUUUAAUUAUUUCAUCAUAAUUACUAACUUGGCUCUUCAUGUUUUUCCUUUAUUUUAAUUUCUUUCAUUACUACAUUAUCAUUAUUUUGAUUCUGUUAUGAUAGUUUGAUCAUUUAUUGUAAUCUUUACUUUGUGAACGUGAAAUACAUGUUAUAUGCUUUGCUAUUGUAACUGCAUUCUUCAACAUCAUAUUCCACUCGUGCCAAAACAAAUCUUAUAACAACGCUUAUAAUGAGUGUUUGGAUCCUUUCAAUAUUAUAACCUUCUAAGUGUGGCAAAGGCAUAUUUACGGUAAAACCAAUUGAUCACCGGUGUAGUCGACGAUUCCACACGUUUACCUCUUGGGUUGUCCGCUCAAGGGUACCUUGUCUAGCACUUUAAAAGUAGAAACCUUAUUCCGUUGAAUUGUUAAUGCUUCAUGGUCAAACUUAGCUGAGUCAGUUAUCUUGUCCGCGUAAUGACCCAUUAAGAUACCCUAAACAGAAGUCCAUCGGGUCUCCUAGAAACCCAAACGGAAACCUCCACGUUAUGUUCCUUUAUUUGGAGAACUAAAUGUCUUUAUUGCUAACUAUUGAUUUAAAUAGUCGAGUCUGGUGGGGUUAAGGGACUAACACUUUGUUUUGCAGAAAAUGAGGAAUGCAGUCCCCAGAUUUGGUAUGGUAACCAAC
Molecule: long non-coding RNA, 4560 nt
Filed under: Nicotiana benthamiana
Lineage: Eukaryota; Viridiplantae; Streptophyta; Magnoliopsida; Solanales; Solanaceae
Description: long non-coding RNA (NBEN_LNC010533)
Source: RNAcentral